GGGCGUUACACAAAGUACUUGUCACACACUGGUUAUUGAUUAAAACAUCAAAUUAUGUUCUUCUUCUCGUGUACCGCAAAGAACUCAAAGAACUCACAACAUAAGAAAACCCAGAAAAAAAAAGCUUAACAUCAACUAUUCUUCUUCUCGCGUACCCUACUCAGUUUCGAACAAAGAACAUCAACUCUUCUUCUUUAGUUCAACAACUUGUUAAUUUCUUCAAAGGUAGUUUUAGAAUUAAGUUAAAGUGUUGCUGAAUCAGGCAUAAACAAUUAGAUCUGACACAAAUUUCGUUCCUAGAAAGGGCUUGGACAACAGUUAUGGUGUAGAGGAAGAAAAUACUUAAAGUGAUGAAGAUGCUGAUGAAUCCAACAAUGAAGGAUUUUAUUGCAAUUACGAUGUUGCAACUGCCGUGGAUAGUGUGAGUGAUAUAGACAAAUUAAACUUAAAGGAAAUGAGUUGUGAAGAAAUUAAACUUGUGAAAAAUGUAAUAUUUAGAGUUGUUUAAAUUAUGCCCCUAAUUAAUGCUUUAUGGUUGAGUUUCUUUUUGCCUAUGUAAUUUAUUUGAGUAUGUAUUGAUCAAUUGAUAAAAUAGAAAAAAAAUAGGUUAAAUGUUUUUGGUCCCUUAACUAUUUAAUUAGUAUCACUUUGGUCCUUUAAUUAAAAUUUGAUUUAUUUUGGUAUCUUAACUUCUCUGAGUUACACAUUUUGGUCCUUUUCGUUGACGGAGAUGAUGUGAAGAUGAAGAGGAGGAGAAGAGGAUGAAGAAAAUCUAACGUUUUUGAAUUAAAACUAACGAAAAGGACCAAAAUGUGUAAGGAGAGAAAGUUAAGAUACCAAAAUAAAUCAAAUUUUAACUAAGGCUCAAAAGCGAUACUAAUUAAAUAGUUAAGGGACCAAAAAUGCAAUUUAGCCCAAAAAAUAAAUAAAAAAUCAGCUAGUAAAUUUAUAUUCAACAAAUUUCUAUUAAAAAUUAUUAAUCUACUAAUAAUUUUUUGAUUAAUUAAACUAUGAAAAAUACUAACUUGUGCUCUUAUGGCACAAGUGAAUGAAUCAAAUAUAAAUAGUUUAUUGAAAAAUGUGCAUUACAUUUAAUCUUUAACUUUUUAAUGAAUUGAAUGCACAUAAUUUUAGAGAAUAUUUUUUCUUUUAUGUUUCUUAACAUGUACCUUAAAAGCACAAGUUAACACUACCGUUAAACUAUUGACCACAUUGCUUGGUUUGCAGUUAAAACUAGAGUCUCCGACUCUCAAACCAGUCAAACUACUCAUUCCUAAUUUUUAGUACAAUUCUAUAAAUAAAUAUAAAAACUUAAUAAAUUGUUUAAGUUAUGCCAAACAAAGUUACAACUGUUACCAAAAAAACAAAGUUACAACAACUCUAUAAAUAAAUUGUUUUAAGUUAUGCCAAACAAAUUAAAUACAAAACAAUCAUUAUUACAAUGUGAGCACCAUUUGUUUUUUCCUCUUUGUCAUUAGCCUUUACAGAGAAUAUUCUGUAGAACCAGACCAGGGAUGGACAUAGACAAAGAUCACAUUAUUCUUGUUUGGAGAUACUAUAUUCAGCUCAUUAUCUGUAAAGUAGGUUACACACGUGAGAAAGAUUAA
This 1607-nucleotide long non-coding RNA is filed under the name Medicago truncatula (barrel medic). RNAcentral describes it as "lncRNA gene36828". The record is from RNAcentral. Lineage: Eukaryota; Viridiplantae; Streptophyta; Magnoliopsida; Fabales; Fabaceae.